This is an RNA transcript of Coffea eugenioides, 1084 nucleotides long. RefSeq lists it as uncharacterized. The record is from RefSeq and is a predicted model, not a curated record. The transcript has 2 exons. Lineage: Eukaryota; Viridiplantae; Streptophyta; Magnoliopsida; Gentianales; Rubiaceae.
UCCGCGUCCCUUCGCCCAACUUCAUAUGCUUCAGAAGGUUCCCCAGAACACAUUUGCAUAUAGAGUCUCUACUCUCUUACGCUCCCUUGUCCAUCUCGUAUGGAUGCUACAGCUCCCACAAGUGCUUAUUCUGCUACCACUGCUUCUAACUCCGGAAAUCGUCCUCAAUCAUCAACCCCAGUUCGCUACUUCCGUUGCUCUUGCUUCAGGCGCUGCUGUCGCUGCUUCUGCUGCUUCUACUCCUUCCCUUAAUCACAAAUCAAUUGAGAAAACUCUGAUUCUUGAUCUUUCUGCCUUUAAGCAGCUUUGGUGCUGAAAUUGCUGGGAGUUGGUUUCACUAGUUAAGCCACACUUCGGAGAGGAAGAAUAAUGUUCUUAUUCAAAGUUCUAGUUUUUGAUAUACUGUAUUCAUGCUCAUCUAAUUGCUCAUAUAGCAUUUGAAUUAUGUUGAUAGUGGCACAUUGAAUUCCAGUGAUGCCUUGAGGAUGGUAAAAUGCUGUUUUUGCACCACUUUUGCAUAAUCAGUACCAGAGAAGCUCACUACGCUGCAAGUAUGCGAGGCGUCUCUUGACACAUUGAAUUCCAGUGAUGCCUUGAGGAUGGUAAAAUGCUGAUUUUGCACCACUUUUGCAUAAUCAGUACCAGAGAAGCUCACUACGCUGCAAGUAUGCGAGGCGUCUGCAUCAAGACUACAUAGAUGGCGUAAAAAUUUAUCUAAGCGGCAGGAUUGGCAGUCUUAUGUGUUUCUCUUCCAUUAGACAUCUAAAAAUGUAUUUAAAAAACCAUAUAUAACAUGUAAUCUUGCUUUUUGUGGAUCAGAGAUUACUACCAUUGUAAAGGUUACCUGCUUAGUUUCCUUCUAUGCAUCAUGUAUGAAGUUGUCAGGCCCCAGUUUAGGCAUUUGGCCGUGAUUGAAAUUGUCAACAUGUUAGAUGCAUAGGAUAGCAGCUAUUAUUUUUCAAAUUUGUCCUCCUUCAAUUCACCAUAUAGUUGCUACAAGUUUUCUGUUACACCUACAAGUUGUAAACAAGUCUGCAUAUUCUCUAGAACACGAUGAAUACAAUUACCAAUGAGAAUUUCCUUC